RNAcentral lists this ribosomal RNA (1248 nucleotides) under Triticum aestivum (bread wheat). RNAcentral's name for it is "partial small subunit ribosomal RNA". The record is from RNAcentral. Lineage: Eukaryota; Viridiplantae; Streptophyta; Magnoliopsida; Poales; Poaceae.
AUGGGCUGCAAAAAGACCAAGGCAGAAGCUACAUCUGUUCUGAGUUCAGACAGACUAAGCAGUCUACCCCCAAAGAUAAAAGGCAACAUCCUCUCCCGUUUGAAUGUCAGAGAAGCUGUUAGGACUAGCACCUUAUCGAGUACAUGGAGGGAUGCAUGGACAAAUAUGCCAAAAAUAUCUUUGCGUGAUAGAAAUUUUACGCGAACCAGGUUUGUUAAGUUGGUCGAUAUGGUGCUAGCACUCCACAAGGGAACCAUAGAAGAGUUUGAUAUAUCAGGUGAAAAAAGUUACCACGAUGAGUUCGCUAGGUGGAUGCUCAUGCUGUCAAGGAGAUCACCAAGGUCAGUUACAAUCAAGUUGAACUCAGGGCCAAGGUAUAAGAUUUCCUCACGCGUCUUUUCCAUCGGUGAUUUGAAGUUUCUGCAACUGGAAAACUGCAUCAUCAGCUUGCCCCGGGCAUUCCAAGGCUUCAAGAGCCUAACUUACCUGAGCCUAAACAAUUUCUCAUCCACAGACAGGGAUAUCCAAAAUCUGAUCUCAUUCUGCCCCGUACUUACUGAUUUGAUAUUAACUACUUUUGAGGGCAUCAACCAACUAAACAUUCACGCUCCUAAGCUAGAAUAUCUUAGUGUUUAUGGGGACUUUGAAGACAUUAAUUUGGAGGCCCCUAAUCUGAAGGUGGCCAUCCUUUAUCUAGAUCACCAAGCUAAAGCAUAUCAAUCUGUUCCAAUUGCACAUGACAAGGAAAACCAUAUCAAGAAGUCAUUGGGAAGCCUAAGUGAGAUCAAAAUACUUGGAAUCACUGGUAGUUUCAUGAAGUAUCUAUCAAAAGGGCGUAUACUUACAAAGCUCCCUACUGUGUUUACACGCCUCGAGAAUAUUUAUCUUAAUAUAUGCUUUUGGGACCGGAGGCAAGUCUUUGCUGCUUAUUCAUUAUUUCAGAAUGCCCCUAACUUGAAGAAGCUUGCGGUGUGGAGUUACCCUUCAAGCACAUGGGAUCAGUGUCAGGCGAGGAUUCUAGAGCAUACGCUGCAAAUGCAAAUGGACCAUCUCGUGACGGCCAGUGUUGGAUGCUUCCGGGGUCUUGACAACGAAGUCGAUUUCGUGGCAAAGUUACUGAGUUGGGCACCUGCUCUGGAAGAAGUGAAGAUAGAAUGGAAGGGCGAAACAGACUGCAUCAUGGUUCUUGCCAAGCUAUUAGCUCUGCCGAGAGUGUCUGCCAGGGCCAAGGUCAUUGUUUCAUUUUGA